AUGAAGUGCUUGGGACAUUGCCUUGCACUGGAAGAAGUCUCCAGAAAUGAUGAAAACCGUUCCUAUCAACCUGUCAAAAGGGGAAAUCAGCCUCACAAGGGAGUCCGAGGGUUGGGAGAGGCUACUCUUCCCACCUGCCCUCUCAGUCCAUCAACCAGCGGCAACCGGAAGUCCUACUCAUGCGGCAAGACUCACGUGGUGCCAGGGACAGAGCAGGGAACACGAGCCACCUCAGCCCUGGAGCUCAUGCCUCAGGGCAUCACCCAGUGCUUCUGCCCCAGUGAAUGGUCCAGUGCCCGUGCCUCAGUGCUCCGGAGCCCAGAGGAAGAAGUAAAGCAUUUCCUAUGUUGACCAGCGCCAAGUGCUAAGGGGCACAAGGAACUGGUGUCAUUUUAGAGGGUGACACAGAAGGCUUCCCUGGAACCAUGGAGUAAAGACCUAAGGAGCUGAGAGAAAGAUGUUCAGUCAGAGGAAACAACAAGCCAAAGACGGAGCCUGAUGCUUUAGAAAAAAAGGGCCCCGGGGCCAGUGUGGCUGGAGGGGCUGCAGUAGAGUUCCCAGCCGGCUCCCUUCUUCCUGGGUCUCUGAGCCUUCCCCUCAGGCUACCUACAGGUUAGGGAAGCAGCCAGCCGACUCUCUGUGAUUCUGUUUCAGCCACACUGUGUCUGUCGGCACCAACUUUUUCCAACAGUGUUUGCUCAUUUUAUGUCUCUGGGUCACAUUUUGGUACUUCUUGCGAUAUUUCAAACGUUUUCAAUCUUAUUGUAUUUGUUACAAUGAUCUGCAGUCGGUAAUCUUUGAUGUUACUAUUGCGAAAAGAGUACAACUCCCAAAAGGCUCAGAUGAUGGUCAGCAUUUUUUAGCAAUGAAGCACACUUUUAAUUAAGGUAGGCACAUUGUGGAGACAUAAUGCUAUUGCACACUUAAUAGACUACAGUAUAGUGUGAUGAUAACUUUUAUACACACCGGGAAAUCAAAAAGCUGUGUGACUAGCUUUAUCUCUAUUGUGA
This is a long non-coding RNA of Bos indicus x Bos taurus (hybrid cattle), 1010 nucleotides long. Lineage: Eukaryota; Metazoa; Chordata; Mammalia; Artiodactyla; Bovidae. The record is from Ensembl.